RNAcentral lists this ribosomal RNA (168 nucleotides) under Halomonhystera disjuncta. RNAcentral's name for it is "partial 18S ribosomal RNA". It matches the Rfam family "Eukaryotic small subunit ribosomal RNA", at positions 245 to 417 of the family's 1831-position model. The record is from RNAcentral. Lineage: Eukaryota; Metazoa; Nematoda; Chromadorea; Monhysterida; Monhysteridae. RNAcentral also lists the same sequence under 1 other name.
GUUGACUCUGAAUAACGUAGCUAAUCGACGGUUAAUCCGUCGAUAACCGAAAGAAGUGUCUGCCCUAUCAACCAGAUGGUAGUCUAUUAGUCUACCAUGGUUAUCACGGGUAACGGAGAAUCAGGGUUCGGCUCCGGAGAGGGAGCCUUAGAAACGGCUACCACAUCC